CCGUCACGGUACAAGCUGGAAGCCAUGAGAAACAACACAGGCAAAGGGAAUCAUAGCAUGGAGAUGGAGGGAUCUCCAUCACAAACACCUAGAUCCAGUCCAAACAUCCAAACCCAGAAUUCUCCCCUCGAUUCCUAUGAAACCAAAAGCAUUUCCAAGCGACUUAAUCAUCUCAUUGAGUUUGGCGGAAUCAAAUUUUACAAGGGGUUAUUAGGCAUAGAUGGUGAUUACCAGAAGAAUUUGUGCACUGAUGGUGCUCGCAGUGGCAGUGAUAGGAAGAAAACAAGCAACAAGUACUUGAAAGGGUUUCUGCUAAGGCGUAAAGUGGUAUGUGGCAGAAGGCAAGACGUAGAUGACAGAGCAGUCAGCGAUGACCGGCGG
RNAcentral lists this long non-coding RNA (381 nucleotides) under Theobroma cacao (cacao). RNAcentral describes it as "long non-coding RNA (TCAC_LNC002287)". The record is from RNAcentral. Lineage: Eukaryota; Viridiplantae; Streptophyta; Magnoliopsida; Malvales; Malvaceae.